UACAGGGGGGGCAAGCGUUGUUCGGAAUUACUGGGCGUAAAGGGCCAGUAGGCGGCCAACUAAGUCCGACGUGAAAUCCCCAGGCUUAACCUGGGAACUGCGUCGGAUACUGGAUGGCUUGAAUUCGGGAGAGGGAUGCAGAAUUCCAGGUGUAGCGGUGAAAUGCGUAGAUAUCUGGAGGAAUACCGGUGGCGAAGGCGGGUCUCUGGGCCGAAAUUGACGCUGAGGAGCGAAAGCGUGGGGAGCAAACAGG
Molecule: ribosomal RNA, 253 nt
Filed under: uncultured bacterium
Lineage: Bacteria
Description: partial 16S ribosomal RNA
Rfam family: Bacterial small subunit ribosomal RNA
Source: RNAcentral